CCGAGUUCAUGCCCUCACGGGUAGACCUCCCACCCUUGCGUAUCUCUACUCUGUUGCUUUGGCAGGUUGCUCGACCCCUCGGGGGACAGCCUCAGCGCCCUCGGGCCUGAGAGUCGCUUGCCGGAGGAAACCCAAACUCUGAAUUGUUAGUGUCGUCUGAGUACUAUACUUUAAUAGUUA
This 180-nucleotide unclassified non-coding RNA is filed under the name uncultured Ascomycota. RNAcentral's name for it is "sequence contains ITS1". Lineage: Eukaryota; Fungi; Ascomycota. The record is from RNAcentral.